CUGGGUGUAAAGAGUUGCGUAGGUGGCAGGGUAAGUAGAUAGUGAAAUCUGGUGGCUCAACCAUUCAGACUAUUAUCUAAACUGCUCCGCUCGAGAGCGUUAGGGGUAGCUGGAAUUUCUAGUGUAGGAGUGAAAUCCGUAGAUAUUAGAAAGAACACCGAUAGCGUAGGCAGGCUACUGGGACGUUUCUGACACUAAGGCACGAAAGCGUGGGGAGCAAACGGGAUUAGAUACCCCGGUAGUCCACGCUGUAAACGAUGGAUACUAGCAGUUUCGGGUAUCGACCCCUGGAGUUGCGAAGCUAACGCGUUAAGUAUCCCACCUGUGUAGUACGAUCGCAAGAUUAAAACAUAAAGGAAUUGACGGGGACCCGCACAAGCGGUGGAGCGUGAUCUUUAAUUCGAUGGUAAACGAUAAACCUUACCAAGGCUUGACAUCUAGGAAAGGCUUCCGAAAGGAAACUGUGCCUUCGGGAAUCCUAAGACAGGUGAUGCAUGGCCGUCGUCAGCUCGUGUCGUGAGAUGUUUGGUUAAGUCCAUCAACGAGCGCAACCCUUGCAACCAGUUGUAUUUUUCUGGUAGGACUGCCCCGGUAACGGGGAGGAAGGAGGGGAUGAUGUCAGGUCAGUAUUUCCCUUACGCCUUGGGCUAGAAUCGCGCUACAAUGGCCGGUACAAUGCGAAGCGAAGCAGCGAUGUGAAGCAAACCGCAUCAAGGCCGGUCCCAGUUCGGAUAGGAGGCUGAAACUCGCCUUCUUGAAGUCGGAAUCGCUAGUAAUCGCAGAUCAGCAUGUUGCGGUGAAUACGUUCCCGGGUCUUGCACUCACCGCCCGU
Molecule: ribosomal RNA, 832 nt
Filed under: uncultured bacterium
Lineage: Bacteria
Description: bacterial SSU rRNA
Rfam family: Bacterial small subunit ribosomal RNA
Source: RNAcentral